AUUGAACGCUGGCGGCAGGCCUAACACAUGCAAGUCGAGCGGAUGAAGGGAGCUUGCUCCUGGAUUCAGCGGCGGACGGGUGAGUAAUGCCUAGGAAUCUGCCUGGUAGUGGGGGAUAACGUCCGUAAACGGGCGCUAAUACCGCAUACGUCCUUAGGGAGAAAGUGGGGGAUCUUCGGACCUCACGCUAUCAGAUGAGCCUAGGUCGGAUUAGCUAGUUGGUGGGGUAAAGGCCUACCAAGGCGACGAUCCGUAACUGGUCUGAGAGGAUGAUCAGUCACACUGGAACUGAGACACGGUCCAGACUCCUACGGGAGGCAGCAGUGGGGAAUCUUGGACAAUGGGCGAAAGCCUGAUCCAGCCAUGCCGCGUGUGUGAAGAAGGUCUUCGGAUUGUAAAGCACUUUAAGUUGGGAAGAAGGGAAGUAAGAUAAUAUCUUGCUGUUUUGACGUUACCAACAGAAUAAGCAACGGCUAACUUCGUG
Molecule: ribosomal RNA, 484 nt
Filed under: uncultured bacterium
Lineage: Bacteria
Description: partial 16S ribosomal RNA
Rfam family: Bacterial small subunit ribosomal RNA
Source: RNAcentral